RNAcentral lists this ribosomal RNA (255 nucleotides) under Klebsiella pneumoniae. Its description in RNAcentral is "partial 23S ribosomal RNA". It matches the Rfam family "Bacterial large subunit ribosomal RNA", at positions 2110 to 2364 of the family's 2925-position model. Lineage: Bacteria; Pseudomonadati; Pseudomonadota; Gammaproteobacteria; Enterobacterales; Enterobacteriaceae. The record is from RNAcentral.
GGUGACACUGAACAUUGAGCCUUGAUGUGUAGGAUAGGUGGGAGGCUUUGAAGCGUGGACGCCAGUCUGCGUGGAGCCAACCUUGAAAUACCACCCUUUAAUGUUUGAUGUUCUAACGUUGGCCCCUGACCGGGGUUGCGGACAGUGUCUGGUGGGUAGUUUGACUGGGGCGGUCUCCUCCCAAAGCGUAACGGAGGAGCACGAAGGUUAGCUAAUCCUGGUCGGACAUCAGGAGGUUAGUGCAAUGGCAUAAGC